UACGUAGGGUGCAAGCGUUGUCCGGAAUUAUUGGGCGUAAAGAGCUCGUAGGCGGUCAGUCGCGUCUGCUGUGAAAACUCGGGGCUUAACUCCGGGCCUGCAGUGGGUACGGGCUGACUAGAGUGCGGUAGGGGAGACUGGAAUUCCUGGUGUAGCGGUGAAAUGCGCAGAUAUCAGGAGGAACACCGGUGGCGAAGGCGGGUCUCUGGGCCGUAACUGACGCUGAGGAGCAAAAGCGUGGGGAGCGAACAGG
This 253-nucleotide ribosomal RNA is filed under the name uncultured bacterium. Its description in RNAcentral is "partial 16S ribosomal RNA". It matches the Rfam family "Bacterial small subunit ribosomal RNA", at positions 524 to 776 of the family's 1533-position model. The record is from RNAcentral.